GGGCGUUAUGAGUCGAUUUGGAGGUUGUGCCCUUGAGGCGUGGCUUCCGAAGCUAACGCGUUAAAUCGACCGCCUGGGGAGUACGGCCGCAAGGUUAAAACUCAAAUGAAUUGACGGGGGCCCGCACAAGCGGUGGAGCAUGUGGUUUAAUUCGAUGCAACGCGAAGAACCUUACCUACUCUUGACAUCCAGCGAAUCCUGUAGAGAUACGGGAGUGCCUUCGGGAACGCUGAGACAGGUGCUGCAUGGCUGUCGUCAGCUCGUGUUGUGAAAUGUUGGGUUAAGUCCCGCAACGAGCGCAACCCUUAUCCUUUGUUGCCAGCGGUUCGGCCGGGAACUCAAAGGAGACUGCCAGUGAUAAACUGGAGGAAGGUGGGGAUGACGUCAAGUCAUCAUGGCCCUUACGAGUAGGGCUACACACGUGCUACAAUGGCGUAUACAAAGAGAAGCGACCUCGCGAGAGCAAGCGGACCUCAUAAAGUACGUCGUAGUCCGGAUUGGAGUCUGCAACUCGACUCCAUGAAGUCGGAAUCGCUAGUAAUCGUGGAUCAGAAUGCCACGGUGAAUACGUUUCCCGGGA
This 580-nucleotide ribosomal RNA is filed under the name Edwardsiella tarda. Its description in RNAcentral is "bacterial SSU rRNA". It matches the Rfam family "Bacterial small subunit ribosomal RNA", at positions 797 to 1379 of the family's 1533-position model. Lineage: Bacteria; Pseudomonadati; Pseudomonadota; Gammaproteobacteria; Enterobacterales; Hafniaceae. The record is from RNAcentral.